UGGAAAGUCAGACAGUUCAGCAAUGCGACAUUGAAACAAUGUUGAAUGAAACCAUUAAAAUUCAAACAAUGUGGAGAUACAGUCUCACUGCCCAUCCCCAGCGCCCCUGCUCAUAGAACUUUGAAGACCUUUCUCUAUUGCCGUCUAGAAUUUAAGCAUCACUGAACAGAAAGCAGCAGUUCACAGUACGGAGCCAGACUGCUGGCUUGAAGUCUUGGUCUGCCACCUGCUUGCUGUGCGGCCAGGACACAAGAACCCAACGGGAAGGAGCAGCUGUUCCGUUUUGCUGCCCUGGUGGGGAAGACGCAGAGAAACGGAAACCCGGAGGAAAAGAGGAAGUGAACUCUGGAUUGACAGACACCCAACAAGGCUGAUGUAUUUCCCAAUCAAGUAGCACGGUUCAACAAUAUCCCAGUUCCUCGUUGUGGAAAAGGAUGGCCCAUUUGGGAUCAUGGAAGCAUAACAGGGAGGCCGUUACAGCGCCACGGGACAGACGUGUCUACGUUCACCAGCUGUGUGCCGAGAAGCCUACGCACCUGGGCUGCUUUUUAGGUCGUGUCUGGGAACACACACACAACAGAGCCACAC
Mirounga angustirostris (Northern elephant seal) is the source of this 588-nucleotide long non-coding RNA. RefSeq lists it as uncharacterized. NCBI's taxonomy places the organism in Eukaryota, Metazoa, Chordata, Mammalia, Carnivora, Phocidae. The transcript is spliced from 5 exons. The record is from RefSeq and is a predicted model, not a curated record.